Gopherus evgoodei (Goodes thornscrub tortoise) is the source of this 1156-nucleotide long non-coding RNA. RefSeq lists it as uncharacterized. Lineage: Eukaryota; Metazoa; Chordata; Testudines; Testudinidae. The transcript has 3 exons. The record is from RefSeq and is a predicted model, not a curated record.
GGUUUAGGGCAUUAAGAAGGAUUCGACCCUAUUGACGCUCAAAGUUUGAAGGGCCGUUUGGGAUUCGGACACGAUGUUUUCCAAGGAGCCUGAUGUCUGCGACCGAUUAGAGCAGCCCCCGACUGCCUCUGAGGCCAUGAUCGGCCAUCUUGGAUGCUGUCAAUCGAGCCCCUUGUUGGUUUCAUUGAUCGAUUCGGUGUGAGUAGGUCGGUUCUGUUCAGAUGGCUGGUGAGAAAGGAAGAUAGAUGCCUUCAAUGCUGAGUUUUUCCAUCCUCCUUGUCAUCCUCUGUUGGAAGGAAGAAAGGACCAGCCUUGUGCAGGCUACAAGAAAUCUAUGCCAGUGACUGUCCCUCAUUACACCUGCCUGAAGUGCCUCAAGAGGGUCGCAUUCAAGACUGCUGCCAGAUUUGCAGAACUUUAAACCCCGGACAAAAAAGAAUAGAGAGGUGAGGCUGUAUCACGUCUUCUUGGAGGCAGCCCUGCGUAUGCCUUCUGAACCUUCCCGCUUUGGGCACACACUCAGUAUUCUGCAUCAAUGCAGAUUGCUCUCUGGACAUCACUUCUGAAUGUUGGCACUGAUCCCCUACCCUGGCGCCAAGAAAGAAGCACAGAAGAUCAGAUUCGUUAAAGGAGCAGAGGCGUGGCUCCACUAAAGUAGUGGUUCUUAAACUGUGGAUUGGAACCCCAAAGUGGAUUAUGAUCCCGUUUUAAUGGAGUUGCCAGGGCUGGCUUAGACUUGCAGUGGCCAGGGGCUGAAGCCAAAGCCUGAGUCCCACUGUGUGGGGCUUCAGCCUGAGGGCUUCAGCCUUGGGGGUGAAUGGGACUGAGUGAGGCUUUGGCUUUGCUCAGCCUUCACCUGGGGUGGCAGAGAUCAGGCAGGCUCAGGCUUUGGUCUCCCUUCUGGGUUGGGUAGUAACUUUUUUUUUUUUUUUUUGGUCAGAAGGGGGUUGCAGUGCAAUGAAGCUUGAGAACCCCUGCACUAGAGGAUUGAGGUCCCUGCUACCAUCCACCAAUAAAGAAUCAAGAGGACAGGGUAGAGCAUCCUCUGGGAUGCACAUACCAGUCUCUUCUCAUCAGGGGUUGUUCAGGUGUCAGUAGAGCUGUCAUAAACAGAUAGUUAAGGGUUAAUGUCUCUCUUUUACCUGUAAAGGGUUAA